CUCAUGCCCAGGGCCUUAUCUUCACCCGAACAAUAAAGCAACUUAAUGCACGCGGUGUCUUUAUUGGAAAGAAAGGAGAGGCAGAAAGGAGCUAGGACAUCCUUGAGGGCUCCCAGGACUGCCUGCUGUGCUGAAGGUAUAAGAGCCACCUGCCACCUGCCACCAUUACCUGCUUUACAUCUCUUCUCACUGGACAAGCCACCAGCCCAGCCUCUCAAGAUGGCCUAUAUCCCUGCACCUGGCUACCAGCCCACUUACAAUCCGACUCUGCCCUACAACAAGCCCAUCCCGGGUGGUCUCAGUGUGGGAAUGUCUGUGUACAUCCAAGGAGUGGCCAGCGAGCACAUGAAGAGGUUCUCCGUGAACUUCGUGGCGGGGCAGUACGCGGGAGCGGACAUUGCCUUGCACUUCAAUCCCCGCUUUGAUGGCUGGGACAAGGUGGUCUUCAACUCGCAACAGGGCGGCAAGUGGGGCAGCGAGGAGAAGAAGCGGAGCAUGCCCUUCCGCAAGGGCGCGGCCUUCGAGCUGGUGUUCAUGGUCCUGGCGGAGCACUACAAGGUGGUGGUAAAUGGAAAUCCCUUCUACGAGUUCGGGCAUCGGCUGCCCCUACAGAUGGUCACUCACCUGCAAGUGGAUGGGGACCUGGAGCUUCAAUCAAUCAACUUCAUUGGUGGCAACCCGCCCCCAGGCCAGAUACCCAUGGGAACUCCAGCAUACCCAGGUCCUGGACACACCCACCAACAGCCAAGUCAGCUGCCUACCAUGGAGGGACCCCCAGUCUUCAACCCGCCUGUGCCAUUUAGGAAGAGAUUGCAAGGAGGUCUUACAGCGCGAAGAACCGUCAUAAUCAAGGGCUCCAUACCCCCCAUGGGCAAGAGCUUUGUCAUCAACUUCAUGGUGGGAUCCUCAGGGGACCUGGCUCUGCACAUUAACCCUCGUCUGACUGAGGGUCUCGUAAUUCGGAACAGCUAUCUGAAUGGUUCAUGGGGAUCCGAGGACAGGAAGAUCUCCUACAACCCAUUUGGUCCUGGGCAAUUCUUUGAUAUCCAAGAAGCUCAAUGAACUGCAAGUAGGAUAAACACAAAGAGAGCCACACCUAGACCCAUCAUAGACAAACUGCUGGAAUAAAAUAAAAGACAGAGAAGGCUUUGAAAGCAGGAAGUGAAAACAGCGCAUCAUGUAGAGGGGAACAGCAGUACAAUUAACAGCUAACUUUUUGUAGAAACAGUGAAGAUCAGAAAGCUGUUGAACGAUUCAGUCAAAGUGCUGCUAAGAGAAAAAUAAAACUGUCAACAAAUAAUUCUAUAUUCAACAAAACUGUAUUUCAAAACAAAAGCAAAAUAAAGACAUUCCCAGAUGAACAAAAGCUGAGAAUUCAUUGCUACCAGAGCUGCUGUCUAGGGAAUGCUAAAGGAAGUCCUUCACGAUGAAAGAAACUGACCUCAAGCAGAAACUCAAAUCCACAGGAAGAAAUAAAGAGCUCCAGGAAUUAUAAGACAGAAGAGUAUAGCUCAGGAAAUAGGAAGAGUAUUGAGAAGUGAACACAUUCAGUACUUAUUUGGAAAUGAAAAAAAUGCUCCAGAAAAUAUUCCAGAACUGCUAUGAAGAAUCUCAACACGGGAGAAUAAGGAGCCUUCAAGGUUGCGCAUCUCUGAGCUCUGAGAAAUGAGCCGGCGACCACAGUGAUAACAGAUCGAAUGCAAACACUGGGCCAAACACCAGAGUCGAGUUGGGACUUGCAGGCUGGCGGUGUGUGAAGAAAUACCCAGCCACAAGGAAGAGCUCCGGAGAAGGAUGAGUCGCUGGCAGCCAUAGAACCAGACAGGGAGGCCGAGAGAGUGGACACCCUGCUCUGGGAGUAGCGGACCCAUCAUUCUGGGACCCGUUCAGAGGCUGGUGCUCCAGCCUCAGGCCCCCUGUCCCCUCUGAUGGAAGUCCUGAUGCCCAGCCCUGGGCCACCCCCGGGCCCCUGCCUAGCCCCGGGCGGCUGCCCUGCUAUGUGGCCUUGACUGAGAGGCUGCCCCUUUCCAGACCUCAGUGUUCUCCUCUGCAAAAUGGGGGUGCUUCAGCCAACACCCCCCCAGGCCAAAUGCAACUGCCCAGCCUCCCUCUCGGAGGCCCUAGCUCCCAAACUGCGCCCCCACCUAGGUGCCUCGUGUGGUGGGGAGAUGGAGAGUCUGGGAGGCCUGGGGGACAGUCCGGUGGUGGAUCAGGUUCUGAGUCUGGGUGUCUUCACCCAAAGGUUCCAUUCUCUUCUCUGCCCCAGGCCUCUUCCCCCUGAGGGGUGGGGCAGGAGUGGGCGCUGGGAGUGGGGUGGUGCAGGUGGGGAGGAGGGCUGCUGGGCUGCUAGGAGGGGUUUCUGCUCAGCUGCCUCACCCUGCCUCUUCCCUGCCUUCCAGAACCAUCUUUCAGCAUUCUCCCUCUGCUCCCCCGCUUUCCUAUCUUGGAUUCCUCUUCUGGAGUCUUGGGCUAUGGGGGUUGGCAAUGAGCCUGGGUGGAGGAGGGCCCCACGGUGCUCUCCUCCACCUGGGUCUGGGUGUGGGUGGGUCCUAGGACACCCCUCCCCCACCCUCCCUACACCUGAGAGCUAGCUGGGAGAGUGAAAGCAGUUCGG
Mirounga angustirostris (Northern elephant seal) is the source of this 2614-nucleotide RNA transcript. It is a transcript of the gene named galectin 4, with no coding region annotated. The record is from RefSeq and is a predicted model, not a curated record. Lineage: Eukaryota; Metazoa; Chordata; Mammalia; Carnivora; Phocidae. The transcript is spliced from 12 exons.